AUUGAACGCUGGCGGCAGGCCUAACACAUGCAAGUCGAACGAGUGGCGGACGGGUGAGUAAUGUCUGGGAAACUGCCUGAUGGAGGGGGAUAACUACUGGAAACGGUAGCUAAUACCGCAUACCAUCGGAUGUGCCCAGAUGGGAUGAGCUAGUAGGUGGGGUAACGGCUCACCUAGGCGACGAUCCCUAGCUGGUCUGAGAGGAUGACCAUCCACACUGUAACUGAAAUACGUGCCAGACUCCUAAGGGGGGCAGCAGGGGGGAAUAUUGCACAAAGGGCGCAAGCCAUAUGCAGCCAUGCCGCGUGAAUGAAGAAGGCCUUCGGGUUGUAAAGUACUUUCAGCGGGGAGGCGUUACCCGCAGAAGAAGCACCGGCUAACUCCGUGCCAGCAGCCGCGGUAAUUC
RNAcentral lists this ribosomal RNA (406 nucleotides) under uncultured bacterium. RNAcentral's name for it is "partial 16S ribosomal RNA". It matches the Rfam family "Bacterial small subunit ribosomal RNA", at positions 30 to 526 of the family's 1533-position model. The record is from RNAcentral.